AUACGUAGGGUGCAAGCGUUAAUCGGAAUUACUGGGCGUAAAGCGUGCGCAGGCGGUUUUGUAAGACCGAGGUGAAAUCCCCGGGCUCAACCUGGGAACUGCCUUUGUGACUGCAAGGCUAGAGUACGGCAGAGGGGGAGGGAAUUCCGCGUGUAGCAGGGAAAAGCGUAGAUAUGCGGAGGAACACCGAUGGCGAAGGCAAUCCCCUGGGCCUGUACUGACGCUCAUGCACGAAAGCGUGGGGAGCAAACAGGAUUAGAUACCCUGGUAGUCCACGCCCUAAACGAUGUCAACUGGUUGUUGGGGAUUUAUUUUCUCAGUAACGAAGCUAACGCGUGAAGUUGACCGCCUGGGGAGUACGGCCGCAAGGUUAAAACUCAAAUGAAUUGGCGGGG
Molecule: ribosomal RNA, 395 nt
Filed under: uncultured bacterium
Lineage: Bacteria
Description: partial 16S ribosomal RNA
Rfam family: Bacterial small subunit ribosomal RNA
Source: RNAcentral